CGAUGCGUCAUACCAGCAUUAAUGCACCAGAGCCCAUCAAAUCUCUAAAGUUAAGAGUGCUUGGGCAAGAGUAGUACUCGGAUGGGUGACCCCCUAGGAGGUCCUCGUGUUGCAUCCC
This 118-nucleotide ribosomal RNA is filed under the name Ipomoea nil (Japanese morning glory). The record is from RNAcentral. Lineage: Eukaryota; Viridiplantae; Streptophyta; Magnoliopsida; Solanales; Convolvulaceae.